Molecule: ribosomal RNA, 1415 nt
Filed under: metagenome
Description: bacterial LSU rRNA
Rfam family: Bacterial large subunit ribosomal RNA
Source: RNAcentral
CUAUCUGAGCAGGGUAAGCCGGCCCCUAAGGCGAGGCCGAAAGGCGUAGUCGAUGGGAACCAGGUUAAUAUUCCUGGGCCAGGAGAUGUUACGGAUCGCAGAGGUAGUUCUUCCUUAUCGGAUUGGAAGGGCUGCUGUGUGGUUCCUGGAAAUAGCCCUCCAUGAGACCGUACCCUAAACCGACACAGGUGGACUGGUAGAGAAUACCAAGGCGCUUGAGAGAACCACAUUUAAGGAACUCGGCAAAAUACCUCCGUAAGUUCGCGAGAAGGAGGCCCCGUUUGUACGCAAGUAUGGGCGGGGGGCACAAACCAGGGGGUGGCGACUGUUUACUAAAAACACAGGGCUCUGCGAAGCCGUAAGGCGACGUAUAGGGUCUGACGCCUGCCCGGUGCCGGAAGGUUAAAAGGAGAUGUGCAAGCAUUGAAUUGAAGCCCCGGUAAACGGCGGCCGUAACAAUAACGGUCCUAAGGUAGCGAAAUUCCUUGUCGGGUAAGUUCCGACCUGCACGAAUGGCGUAACGACUUCCCCGCUGUCUCAAAUGUGGACUCAGCGAAAUUGAAUUGUCUGUGAAGAUGCAGACUUCCCGCGGUUAGACGGAAAGACCCCAUGCACCUUUACUAUAGCUUCGCACUGGCAUCAGGAUUGUGAUGUGCAGGAUAGGUGGUAGGCAUUGAAACCGGGACGCCAGUUCCGGUGGAGCCAUCCUUGAGAUACCACCCUUCGCACUCUUGAUGUCUAACCGCGGCCCGUUAUCCGGGUCCGGGACCCUGCGUGGUGGGUAGUUUGACUGGGGCGGUCGCCUCCCAAAGAGUAACGGAGGCGCGCGAAGGUUGGCUCAGAGCGGUCGGAAAUCGCUCGUUGAGUGCAAUGGCAGAAGCCAGCCUGACUGCAAGACUGACAAGUCGAGCAGAGACGAAAGUCGGCCAUAGUGAUCCGGUGGUCCCGAGUGGAAGGGCCAUCGCUCAGCGGAUAAAAGGUACGCUGGGGAUAACAGGCUGAUGAUGCCCAAGAGUCCAUAUCGACGGCAUCGUUUGGCACCUCGAUGUCGGCUCAUCUCAUCCUGGGGCUGGAGCAGGUCCCAAGGGUAUGGCUGUUCGCCAUUUAAAGAGGUACGUGAGCUGGGUUUAGAACGUCGUGAGACAGUUCGGUCCCUAUCUGCCGUGGGUGUAGGAUACUUGAGAGGAGUUGCCCCUAGUACGAGAGGACCGGGGUGAACGUUCCACUGUUGGACCAGUUGUCGUGCCAACGGCAGUGCUGGGUAGCUAUGAACGGACAGGAUAAACGCUGAAGGCAUCUAAGCGUGAAGCCCCCCUCAAAACAAGGUAUCCCUUGAGAGCCGUGGAAGACCACCACGUCGAUAGGCCGGAGAUGUAAGCGCAGCAAUGCGUUCAGUUGACCGGUACUAAUGGCUC